Long non-coding RNA from Pseudopipra pipra, 855 nucleotides. RefSeq lists it as uncharacterized. The transcript has 2 exons. The record is from RefSeq and is a predicted model, not a curated record. NCBI's taxonomy places the organism in Eukaryota, Metazoa, Chordata, Aves, Passeriformes, Pipridae.
CGCGGGCCUUUGGGGCCCAGGGCUGCCCUGUAAGUCGGGGCCAGUGCCCUGGAGUCCCGGGCACUUUGCGCUCCAGGCAGCGGCCGGAGCCCCCUGUAAGCAGGGGUGCAGCCUCUUUGGCCACUGCUUUGCAUGCCCAGCUGCCUUUGCCCAGAGGGCCCGGCUCCCAGCAGCGGAUGGGACUGCGUCGCUCUGAAGCCGUCGGAGAAGAAAGAAGACACAGGAGUGGAACUUCGAGGCAAGAGCGAAGAAGAGGAGCAGCAGCGUCGAGCUCAAGAGGGGGCACGACAGGGACCCUCUGGGCAAAAUGCACCUCCCUGGCCCCCCCCGGGCAGGGAUCCGUAAGAGUCCAGCGGGCACCUUCAGGCUGCCCCGGCUGGCUUUGCGCUGGGCGACCUCCCUGUAAGCAGGGCUGGGUCUUUGAUUUGCUUUGCUGGCCUUUGGCCAUGGCGCUCCUUUGGCUGCCCGGAGAGAGGGGGCAACCCUGUAAGGAGGGUGAGAGCCCCCAUCUCCGCACCCGAGGGGGGAAACGGAGCUCUCCCGACCCCCAGCCCACCCUGUAAGCAGGGUAGGGCUUUUCCUGACCCCCAGCCCGCCCUGUAAGCAGGGCAGGGCUUUUCCUGACCCCCCAGCCCGCCCUGUAAGCAGGGCAGGGCUUUUCCUCACCCCCAGCCCGCCCUGUAAGCAGGGCAGGGCUUUUCCUGACCCCCAGCCCGCCCUGUAAGCAGGGCAGGGCUUUUCCCUGACCCCCAGCCCGCCCUGUAAGCAGGGCAGGGCUUUUCCUGACCCCCCAGCCCGCCCUGUAAGCAGGGCAGGGCUUUUCCUGACCCCCAGCCCGCCCUGUAAACAGGGCAG